UACGUAGGGGGCGAGCGUUGUCCGAAGUUACUGGGCGUAAAGCGCGCGUAGGCGGUUCUUUAAGUCUGAGGUGAAAGGUUCAGCGCUCAACGUGAACAGUGCCUUGGAUACUGGGGGACUUGAGUGUGGGAGAGGGUAGUGGAAUUCCUGGUGUAGCGGUGAAAUGCGUAGAUAUCAGGAGGAACACCGAUGGCGAAGGCAGCUGCCUGGCCUAACACUGACGCUGAGGUGCGAAAGCGUGGGGAGCGAACGGG
Molecule: ribosomal RNA, 254 nt
Filed under: uncultured bacterium
Lineage: Bacteria
Description: partial 16S ribosomal RNA
Rfam family: Bacterial small subunit ribosomal RNA
Source: RNAcentral